This 342-nucleotide unclassified non-coding RNA is filed under the name uncultured Sebacina. RNAcentral's name for it is "sequence contains ITS1". The stretch from base 1 to 105 matches the Rfam family "5.8S ribosomal RNA", at positions 50 to 154 of the family's 154-position model. Lineage: Eukaryota; Fungi; Basidiomycota; Agaricomycetes; Sebacinales; Sebacinaceae. The record is from RNAcentral.
GAAAUGCGAUAAGUAAUGUGAAUUGCAGAAUUCAGUGAAUCAUCGAAUCUUUGAACACACCUUGCACCCAUUGGUAUUCCAAAGGGUAUGCUCAUUUGAGUGUCAUUGUACUCUCACACUCUAAUUUUGGAGAAGUGGACUUGGGUGUUGCUGCUUUGCAGUGGCUCAUCUUAAAUAUGCUAGUGCAACUCAUGGUUGGAUAUAGUACAGCGUGAUAAGUAUCUUUGCUGGCGCCUCAUGCAGAGGGUAUCUGAUUCAGAGCUCUGUGCUUCUAACAGUCCUGUCUGGGACAAUCUCUGACAACUUGGCCUCAAAUUGAGUAGGACUACCUGCUGAACUUAG